CCCAGGUCUCUCUGCAGCUAAAACUCCUUAGAGUCCAGCGCUUGUUUAAAAGAACCGCUCGAAGAAUCAUUCUUAACCGCGGCACCUGUCUCCGCUCUGCGCCGUCCUAUCAGGUGAAGAAACUGAGGUUCAGGAAAGUUAAGUAACUUGAUAUACAAGGUGACACAGCUUCCAACUUAGAUGCUCUCAACUCCAAAGCCUAUGCAGCCAUCGACGGCAGACCUCAGGUUAAGCCCAGCAGAGAGCGUCCUCAGAACCACCAGAUGAUGAGGAAAUGGGCCAAGAAAGAUUUUGGAGGCCUUAAGCUGAAGGAGAGAAAACUGGAGAGAGCCUGAACCCCUGGGGGGAAAGCCCAGGUAAGGAGGUCACUGGGCUGCAGGGCU
This is a long non-coding RNA of Hyaena hyaena (striped hyena), 383 nucleotides long. RefSeq lists it as uncharacterized. The record is from RefSeq and is a predicted model, not a curated record. The transcript is spliced from 3 exons. Lineage: Eukaryota; Metazoa; Chordata; Mammalia; Carnivora; Hyaenidae.